Molecule: long non-coding RNA, 523 nt
Filed under: Gossypium raimondii (Peruvian cotton)
Lineage: Eukaryota; Viridiplantae; Streptophyta; Magnoliopsida; Malvales; Malvaceae
Description: long non-coding RNA (GRAI_LNC004306)
Source: RNAcentral
UCAUUACGUGAAUGUGGCUAAUCGAGAAUGUGUUUCAACAAUGAGGUCAUCAUGAACAAAUGUCGAUGAAUUUUUUAAAAGUUCUUCUAUGGUUGCGCAAAAGUUGAUGAGUUUUUUUUUUCUUUUCUUUUCUUUUUAUUGCAUAUUUUGUUCUUUUUGUUUUGUUUUUCUGUAUAGGUCCACCCACCGAAAGCUACACAACAUUAAGAUCUUUAAUGAAGUUUGAGAAUUACUUCACCAUUUUGUUGUGCUCGCUAAGUAUCGAGGGAGUUUCUCAAACUUAUCUUUAGUUAGGGAACAUAUUAAGGAUAAUAUGUAACUUAAGUGUGCGUGUGGGGGGUGUACAUAGACUUUAUUUUUGUUUGUUUUCUGUGUUUAUUUUUUCUAUUUUAAUGAAAAUUUCCAAAUAUGCUAAAAGAUUUGAAAUUUUUUUCUCUGUUUUGUUUUGUUUCCAUGGUGCUUGCCAUGCCCCAAAAUAUAGAGGGUUAAUUGAAAAAAUUAAUCAAGAAAUGAAUUAUACUUG